RNAcentral lists this ribosomal RNA (482 nucleotides) under uncultured bacterium. RNAcentral's name for it is "partial 16S ribosomal RNA". It matches the Rfam family "Bacterial small subunit ribosomal RNA", at positions 30 to 507 of the family's 1533-position model. The record is from RNAcentral.
AUUGAACGCUGGCGGCAUGCCUUACACAUGCAAGUCGAACGGUAACGGGCCUUCGGGUGCCGACGAGUGGCGAACGGGUGAGUAAUACAUCGGAACGUGCCCGAUCGUGGGGGAUAACGAGGCGAAAGCUUUGCUAAUACCGCAUACGAUCUACGGAUGAAAGCAGGGGACCGCAAGGCCUUGCGCGGACGGAGCGGCCGAUGGCAGACUAGGUAGUUGGUGGGAUAAAAGCUUACCAAGCCGACGAUCUGUAGCUGGUCUGAGAGGAUGAUCAGCCACACUGGGACUGAGACACGGCCCAGACUCCUACGGGAGGCAGCAGUGGGGAAUUUUGGACAAUGGGCGCAAGCCUGAUCCAGCCAUGCCGCGUGCAGGAUGAAGGCCUUCGGGUUGUAAACUGCUUUUGUACGGAACGAAAAGCCUUCUUUUAAUACAGGAGGGUCAUGACGGUACCGUAAGAAUAAGCACCGGCUAACUACGUG